This 253-nucleotide ribosomal RNA is filed under the name uncultured bacterium. RNAcentral's name for it is "partial 16S ribosomal RNA". It matches the Rfam family "Bacterial small subunit ribosomal RNA", at positions 524 to 776 of the family's 1533-position model. The record is from RNAcentral.
UACAGAGGGGGCAAGCGUUAUUCGGAGUUAUUGGGCGUAAAGGGCGCGUAGGCGGCCUGGCAAGUGGAAGGUGAAAUCCCUCGGCUUAACCGAGGAACUGCCUUCCAAACUGCUUGGCUUGAGUCCGGGAGAGGUGAGUGGAAUUCCCAGUGUAGCGGUGAAAUGCGUAGAUAUUGGGAGGAACACCAGUGGCGAAGGCGGCUCACUGGACCGGAACUGACGCUGAUGCGCGAAAGCGUGGGGAGCAAACGGG